This 303-nucleotide ribosomal RNA is filed under the name Triticum aestivum (bread wheat). Its description in RNAcentral is "partial small subunit ribosomal RNA". The record is from RNAcentral. Lineage: Eukaryota; Viridiplantae; Streptophyta; Magnoliopsida; Poales; Poaceae.
AUGUUCCAUCUGACCAUCUCUAUUCUUGCAAGCUUUCGACUUCUCAUCUCACAACUAAAUUUAUUUAAUUACAAAUCCAUUUUUUGUAUUGCAGUUCCUUCUAGGCUGAUUGUAUGUCUUUCUGUUGGCAAAAAUGAACAAGUGAGAGAUGCUUUUGACCGUGCUGGAAGAAAUUGCACGGUUACCUCUAGUGACAUAUGGUAUGUAUGGCUUUACUUUUGUUGGCAACAUGGCGAGUUGGUAUCUAUGCAUGGUUGGCUAUGUAUCUUUUGUUGUCAUGUACCAACUUUAUUUGGUCUAUGA